GCAGACCUGCUCUUUGUCAUUAUCUCCAAGGAGGAAAUUCCCUCUGUGGGCUCUGGUAGCGGGAAUUAGUGGACAGCACCUCGUGAGAUGCUAAUGCAGAGCAGAUGUGUGGCUUCAUGGAGAGAGGUUCUUAUUCUAAAGGAGCCAAUGUCUCCACUUUGUCAUUGAGGUGAGCCCAUAAUGCACCAGCAUACAAACACGACUGCCACCUCACUGUUUACCACUAAUGCUAAUAAGGAACCUGUAAUAUAAUGCAAAAGGAGACUUGCCAUCAAUUGCUCCAAGGAGACAGAAAUACACUGCAGCAUUUAGGUCACUACUCUCAUUAACCCUAGAUCACAGUAAUAGUACUCUCUGAACAUAUCCAGUUGAAUCAUUUUUAUGGGCUUUUGUUUGUUUAUAUCACAGAUUUAUGUCUAAUAUUAGCCGUUAAGGUCAAGAUUUCAAUACCGUGCAGUACAGGCAAUAAUUACGUCCUCCUUCCUGACAUAUUGAAGAUUUAAGAUUGUGCAGGUAGCACUCAGCAGCCUCAUUUCCAUCUGUGUCAGUUGACUCAUGGUCUCCCUGAGUACCUGCCAGUGCACAUGAAUCCCCCUUAUAGGCCCAUCACUUGUGAUUUGUGUUACUACUACAGUACUUAAUAGAACACAUUAUUCCACCCGGUUUAAAAGAUGACAGAGAAACAACUGAAAUUCCCACAAGAAACGAUCUGUGUAUGUUGGGAGGUAUGCUAGUGUGAGUGUUACCUUGCACACCCAAGCCAUGACUGUGUGUGUGUGUGUGUUUGAGAGUCUGUGUGUGUAUGUUUUCAUGAGUGAACCUAGCCUCACAGCUGCCUAACUCUUUUAGGUAAAGUGAGAGCAUAAGCUCACGGGUUGUAUUGCUUUAGUCUUCCUUCUUUGGCAACUCCACACAGACAUCUGCAAACAUAUUAGCGAGUUAGUGAAAUUGCAUGUCAUCUAUGCCAAAUUGUGGGCUGCUCUCCCAGUUUGCGAGGAUUGUUUUUCAGCGCCCUGGCCUUGUAAGUUGUGGCUUUCUGUUUGUCUUGCAUGUGGUCUUGCAGAUUUUCACUGUUCUCACACACACACACACACACACACACUCACAGGCAGAGUAAAUGUUCCAUUGAGAUGACUCAGGCACUAUCUGACGUCCUGGUGUAACACCUUAGAAGACAGACAUUCAGAAGGGGGAAAAAGAGAAGUAUUUGACUAAUUUCUCAAUGCAUUGUAGAUAAUACUGCGGUAGCCUUUGCGUAUGCGAACACAGAUGGCAGUAAGCCCAGGAUUGGUACAGGUCACGAACACAAAAGAGCUCCAGCUACUCAGGAACUACAUGGGCUAAAACUAAUCGCAUUUGAUUAAAGGGAUCAUUUCCCCCUGUCUUUUUCCUCUUUUUUCUCUAUCGAAACAUCUCAUAUUGUAAGAGCACUGUGUUAAAGGGCAUGUUGGUGUGCAUCAACCACGUACAGUAGCUCUCAUCUUAGUUUGAAUUCCAACUAAUAUCAUCACUCAUGUUCUCAUUAGCAACGUGGGGCUGCCAUCCCGUGUCACUCUCACUGGAGUGGUCAAGCUCUUCCUGUAAAAAUCCUACUUCCUGCUCACCUGUUUCCUCCGACUGGCUAGCAACACAAUUGCCUGCUUCGAUGGGGCGCGUUGUGAUUUUUGGCACGGACUUUCACCAUUCAUACCGAGAGUUGUUGCCCUUCCCUCUAAAUUU
Clupea harengus (Atlantic herring) is the source of this 1719-nucleotide long non-coding RNA. The record is from Ensembl. Lineage: Eukaryota; Metazoa; Chordata; Actinopteri; Clupeiformes; Clupeidae.